CGUGCAGGCGGCUUGAUAAGUCCCGUGUGAAAGCCUACGGCUUAACUGUAGGAGGUCGCGGGAGACUGUCGGGCUCGAGGGCAGGAGAGGGAAGUAAAAUUCCCGGUGUAGCGGUGAAAUGCGUAGAUAUCGGGAGGAAUGCCAGUGGCGAAGGCGGCUUCCUGGCCUGCUUCUGACGCUGAGACGCGAAAGCUGGGGGAGCGAACGGGAUUAGAUACCCCGGUAGUCCCAGCCGUAAACGAUGGUCACUAGGUGUUGGGGGGUAAUCCCUCAGUGCCGAAGCUAACGCAUUAAGUGACCCGCCUGGGGAGUACGGCCGCAAGGUUGAA
This 329-nucleotide ribosomal RNA is filed under the name uncultured bacterium. Its description in RNAcentral is "bacterial SSU rRNA". It matches the Rfam family "Bacterial small subunit ribosomal RNA", at positions 568 to 898 of the family's 1533-position model. The record is from RNAcentral.